GUCUUGACCAAAUUACGUGCCAGCAGUCGCGGUAACACGUAGAAGACUAGUGUUAUUCAUCUUUAUUAGGUUUAAAGGGUACCUAGACGGAAAAUCAAGCCAUAAUAGGGACUAAUUUUCUAGAGUUUUAUGAGAGAAGGGGUGAAUUUCCGGAGGAAAGUUGAUAUUUAGUGAUACUGGAAGGACGGGUAACGGCGAAGGCAACCUUGUAUGUAAAAACUGACGUUGAGGGACGAAGCCUUGGGUAACGAGAAGGAUUAGAUACCCUAGUAGUCCUUGGAGACAAUUAUGAAUGUCAUAGGCUAGAUAAUUUAGCCUAUAAAUGAAAGUGUAAGCAUUCCACCUCAUGAGUAAAGCGGCAACGCCCAAAUUGAAAUCAUUAGACCGUUUCUGAAACCAGUAGUGAAGUAUGUUAUUUAAUUCGAUGAUCCGCGAAUAACCUUACCACAAUAUGCAUUGAAUAUUAUUCAAUUAUUACAAGCGCUGCACGGCUGUCUUCAGUUAAUGUCGUGAGAUUUUGGUUCGUUCCUUUAAUUAACGAAAACCCUUGCUUUAUUUGUUUUUAUAAAGUAGUUCACCGUGAUAUUGGAUGAGAUAAUAGGGACUAAGACAAGUCAUCAUGGC
RNAcentral lists this ribosomal RNA (624 nucleotides) under Chaetothyriales sp. A531. RNAcentral's name for it is "SSU rRNA". It matches the Rfam family "Bacterial small subunit ribosomal RNA", at positions 488 to 1199 of the family's 1533-position model. Lineage: Eukaryota; Fungi; Ascomycota; Eurotiomycetes; Chaetothyriales. The record is from RNAcentral.